GGGCCGGGGUGAUUGCGUGCCUUUUGAAGAAUGAGCCUGCGAGUUAGCGGUACGUGGCGAGGUUAACCCGUGUGGGGUAGCCGUAGCGAAAGCGAGUCCGAACAGGGCGUUCUGAGUCGCGUGCUCUAGACCCGAAGCCGAGUGAUCUACCCAUGGCCAGGUUGAAGCGCGGGUAAGACCGCGUGGAGGACCGAACCCACCAGGGUUGAAAACCUGGGGGAUGAGCUGUGGGUAGGGGUGAAAGGCCAAUCAAACUCGGUGAUAGCUGGUUCUCCCCGAAAUGCAUUUAGGUGCAGCGUCACGUGUUUCUUGCCGGAGGUAGAGCACUGGAUGGCCGAUGGGCCCCACAAGGUUACUGACGUCAACCAAACUCCGAAUGCCGGUAAGUGAGAGCGUGGCAGUGAGACUGCGGGCGAUAAGGUUCGUAGUCGAGAGGGAAACAGCCCAGAUCAUCGGCUAAGGCCCCUAAGCGUGUGCUAAGUGGAAAAGGAUGUGGGAUCGCAGAGACAACCAGGAGGUUGGCUUAGAAGCAGCCACCCUUGAAAGAGUGCGUAAUAGCUCACUGGUCAAGUGGUUCCGCGCCGACAAUGUAGCGGGGCUCAAGCACACCGCCGAAGCCGUGGCAUUCACACAACAACCCGCCGGUUCCCUCGAGGGGCCGGCCAGGUGUGUGGAUGGGUAGGGGAGCGUCGUGUGGCGGUGGAAGCGGCGGAGUGAUCCAGCCGUGGACGCCACACGAGUGAGAAUGCAGGCAUGAGUAGCGAGAGGGGAGUGAGAACCUCCCCCGCCGGAAGACCAAGGGUUCCUGGGCCAGGCUAAUCCGCCCAGGGUGAGUCGGGACCUAAGGCGAGGCCGACAGGCGUAGUCGAUGGACAACGGGUUGAUAUUCCCGUACCCGCGAAGGAACGCCCAUGCUGAACCCAGCGAUGCUAACCCACCGACGCCGGGGAUCCUCCUUGUGAGGUGAACCGGGGAAGCUGGGGACCCGGACUGGUAGUAGGCAAGCGAUGGGGUGACGCAGGAAGGUAGUCCUACCGGUGAGUGGUAGUACCGGUGCAAGGGUGUGGCCCGUGGAAUAGGUAAAUCCGUUCCACAUGAGGGUGAGGCCCGACGCAUAGCCGAUUGAGGCGAAUUGGAUGAUCCUAUGCUGCCGAGAAAAGCCUCUAGCGAGUUCCGAGCGGCCCGUACCCCAAACCAACUCAGGUGGUCAGGUAGAGAAUACCGAGGCGAUCGAGCGAACUGUGGUUAAGGAACUCGGCAAAAUGCCCCCGUAACUUCGGGAGAAGGGGGGCCCCAGCCCGUGAACCACCUAGCGUGGGGCAGCGGGAGGGGGUCGCAGAGACCAGUGAGAAGCGACUGUUUACUAAAAACACAGGUCCGUGCGAAGUCGUAAGACGAUGUAUACGGACUGACGCCUGCCCGGUGCUGGAACGUUAAGGGGACGGGUUAGCCGCAAGGCGAAGCUCAGAACUCAAGCGCCAGUAAACGGCGGUGGUAACUAUAACCAUCCUAAGGUAGCGAAAUUCCUUGUCGGGUAAGUUCCGACCUGCACGAAUGGCGUAACGACUUCUCAGCUGUCUCAACCACAGGCUCGGCGAAAUUGCACUACGAGUAAAGAUGCUCGUUACGCGCGGCAGGACGGAAAGACCCCGGGACCUUUACUAUAGCUUGAUAUUGGUGUUCGGUUCGGCUUGUGUAGGAUAGGUGGGAGACUGCGAAGCGGGCACGCCAGUGUUCGUGGAGUCGCCGUUGAAAUACCACUCUGGUCGAAUUGGAUGUCUAACCUCGGUCCGUGAUCCGGAUCAGGGACAGUGUCAGGUGGGUAGUUUAACUGGGGCGGUUGCCUCCCAAAAUGUAACGGAGGCGCCCAAAGGUUCCCUCAGCCUGGUUGGCAAUCAGGUGUCGAGUGCAAGUGCACAAGGGAGCUUGACUGCGAGACCGACGGGUCGAGCAGGAGCGAAAGCUGGGACUAGUGACCCGGCACCGGCAUGUGGAAGCGGUGUCGCUCAACGGAUAAAAGGUACCCCGGGGAUAACAGGCUGAUCUUCCCCAAGAGUCCAUAUCGACGGGAUGGUUUGGCACCUCGAUGUCGGCUCGUCGCAUCCUGGGGCUGGAGUAGGUCCCAAGGGUUGGGCUGUUCGCCCAUUAAAGCGGUACGCGAGCUGGGUUUAGAACGUCGUGAGACAGUUCGGUCCCUAUCCGCCGUGCGCGUAAGAGACUUGAGAAGAGCUGUCCCUAGUACGAGAGGACCGGGACGGACGAACCUCUGGUGUGCCAGUUGUACCGCCAGGUGCACUGCUGGUUGGCUACGUUCGGCAGGGAUAACCGCUGAAAGCAUCUAAGCGGGAAGCUCGCUUCAAGAUGAGGUCUCUCACCGGGUCAACCGGGUAAGGCCCCCGCCCAGACCAGCGGGUUGAUAGGCCGGAAGUGGAAGCACCG
This 2439-nucleotide ribosomal RNA is filed under the name Blastococcus sp. DSM 46786. Its description in RNAcentral is "bacterial LSU rRNA". It matches the Rfam family "Bacterial large subunit ribosomal RNA", at positions 585 to 2878 of the family's 2925-position model. Lineage: Bacteria; Bacillati; Actinomycetota; Actinomycetes; Geodermatophilales; Geodermatophilaceae. The record is from RNAcentral.